Molecule: ribosomal RNA, 254 nt
Filed under: uncultured bacterium
Lineage: Bacteria
Description: partial 16S ribosomal RNA
Rfam family: Bacterial small subunit ribosomal RNA
Source: RNAcentral
UACGGGGGGAGCAAGCGUUGUUCGGAUUUACUGGGCGUAAAGGGCGCGUAGGCGGCCAGUGCAAGUCAGUUGUGAAAUCUCCGAGCUUAACUCGGAAAGAUCAACUGAUACUGCUCGGCUAGAGUGCGGAAGGGGCAACUGGAAUUCUUGGUGUAGCGGUGAAAUGCGUAGAUAUCAAGAGGAACACCUGCGGCGAAGGCGGGUUGCUGGGCCGACACUGACGCUGAAGCGCGAAAGCUAGGGGAGCGAACGGG